GUGUUGCGUGUGACAAUGUGUGUAUGUGCGCUAAAAUUGGCAGAGCGAGAGCAGAAGGUGCAGUGAAGCUGCUGAAGUGAGGACAUGUCGGCUUUGGAAAAUAGACUUGUACACAGCGAGGGGACGCCUCUUGAGGAAUGAGAGGUGUUUUUAGAGAGACAGCCAGACAGAGAGAGAGACCAGGAGGUUUUGGAAGUUUCUGUGUGAAUGCGUGCGUGUGCUUAAAUAGUCGGAGGCAGACUGAUUUGAGGACAGCAUAAUGUCUCAUGGGAGUGAGACAGGCUCAUGUUUGUCCUUGUGUAUGAUUCAUUUGUCUUUUGUCAUAUUUUAUGAAUUAUAAAUGGCACAUUCUAGACCUUGCAGAAUGUUUAACACAACAUCCCCAACCUUGUUCCCGUCAUAGGAAGCAAUUACUGGCAUGAAGUUGUCUGAUUGCGCCAUCUGUUGGAGGAAGACGGAACUCCAGAUGUUUUUUGGACGUCCAGUCAUCUGUGUUCCAGUUGUCUCCCCUGUAGAAAGGCGGCUGCAGCUGAUCACAGGCAGCGUGUUGGCAGCGCCUGUGCUGUCUACAGGGCAUUCGGACACAAGCCUGUGCAAAUCACAUAUGCUGUCACAUCAUCAAAGGCGCUUCGAACUGUGGUUUGAACUGGAAAUUGGAAAUAGUCAUAUUUGCCAAGUUUAGAUACAUUUUGUUAAAAUACAAAAGCAAAGUAGAGACAAGCUUAUUAACAGAAACACAUGCAAGUGAAUUUGAAUAUUACAUAUUAUAUAUUCAUAACAACCCUCAGCAGGAAUAUUGUAAAUAUGAUGUUUUCAGUACUGCUGCAACUCACUGCCAUUGUUAAAUUAUUGUUUAUCGAGGCACCAGCUCCUCCUAUGUGGCCUGCGGUGCUCAUUCUUGAUUCCCAGCAGGGUUUUGGCCUCUCCGUUUAUGUUCACGCAGUCUUGUUCAAGUCAUUGACUCACUUGUGAUUGGAGCCAAAAAGCAGCUAUCUCAUUCAGGUGUCACCUGGAAAGUCCAGCAAAGAAAACUUACAGCACAUCCUCCAGACGGUGAUGUUGCCUGUGGCUCUUUUUAAAACCCAACAGCUCUGUGGCUGCUAAAUAAUCAGAUUAGUGAGAUGCUCGUGGAACAGUAGAAUCGUGCCAGGUGGAAAAACUCCAUCAGGAGGACACACAUUAACUGAAGUGUUCACUAAAUGAAACACUUUAAAGGACACUACCGAGGACAUUUUCUUUUUUUUUUUUAUUAAAGAGCCCAAUUUAU
Long non-coding RNA from Betta splendens (Siamese fighting fish), 1267 nucleotides. RefSeq lists it as uncharacterized. The record is from RefSeq and is a predicted model, not a curated record. The transcript is spliced from 2 exons. NCBI's taxonomy places the organism in Eukaryota, Metazoa, Chordata, Actinopteri, Anabantiformes, Osphronemidae.